UACGGAGGGGGCUAGCGUUGUUCGGAAUUAUUGGGCGUAAAGGGCGCGUAGGCGGCCGAAUUAGUCAGGCGUGAAAUCCCGCGGCUCAACCGCGGAACUGCGUUUGAUACUGUUUGGCUUGAGUCCCGGAGAGGGUAGUGGAAUUCCUAGUGUAGCGGUGAAAUGCGUAGAUAUUAGGAGGAACACCAGUGGCGAAGGCGACUACCUGGACGGGUACUGACGCUGAGGCGCGAAAGCAUGGGUAGCAAACAGG
Molecule: ribosomal RNA, 253 nt
Filed under: uncultured bacterium
Lineage: Bacteria
Description: partial 16S ribosomal RNA
Rfam family: Bacterial small subunit ribosomal RNA
Source: RNAcentral